This 429-nucleotide ribosomal RNA is filed under the name Chloroflexota bacterium. RNAcentral's name for it is "Chloroflexi bacterium partial 16S ribosomal RNA". It matches the Rfam family "Bacterial small subunit ribosomal RNA", at positions 355 to 776 of the family's 1533-position model. Lineage: Bacteria; Bacillati; Chloroflexota. The record is from RNAcentral.
UGGGGAAUAUUGCACAAUUGGCGCAAGCCUGAUGCAGCCAUGCCGCGUGUAUGAAGAAGGCCUUCGGGUUGUAAAGUACUUUCAGCGGGGAGGAAGGGAGUAAAGUUAAUACCUUUGCUCAUUGACGUUACCCGCAGAAGAAGCACCGGCUAACUCCGUGCCAGCAGCCGCGGUAAUACGGAGGGUGCAAGCGUUAAUCGGAAUUACUGGGCGUAAAGCGCACGCAGGCGGUUUGUUAAGUCAGAUGUGAAAUCCCCGGGCUCAACCUGGGAACUGCAGCUGAUACUGGCAAGCUUGAGUCUCGUAGAGAGGGGUAGAAUUCCAGGUGUAACGGUGAAAUGCGUAGAGAUCUGGAGGAAUACCGGUGGCGAAGGCGGCCCCCUGGACGAAGACUGACGAUCAGGUGCGAAAGCGUGGGGAGCAAACAGG